This 75-nucleotide transfer RNA is filed under the name Anaerolineae bacterium CFX4. RNAcentral describes it as "tRNA-Thr". It matches the Rfam family "tRNA". From Rfam's summary of the family: Transfer RNA (tRNA) molecules are approximately 80 nucleotides in length. Lineage: Bacteria; Bacillati; Chloroflexota; Anaerolineae. The record is from RNAcentral.
CACCGUAGCUCAACGGCAGAGCAUUCGCUUCGUAAGCGACAGGUUAAGGGUUCAAAUCCCUUCGGUGGCUCUCCA